AGACUACGAGUGAUAAGAUCCGUGGUCAAAAGGGAAACAGCCCAGACCACCAGCUAAGGUCCCCAAUGUCGUACUAAGUGGAAAAGGAUGUGGGGUCUCUAAAACAACCAGGAUGUUGGCUUAGAAGCAGCCACCAUUUAAAGAGUGCGUAAUAGCUCACUGGUCGAGAGACCCUGCGCCGAAGAUUACCGGGGCUAAAGUACGAAACCGAAGCUGUGGCUACGACGUAAGUCGUGGGGUAGGGGAGCGUUCUGUGAGGGCUGAAGUCGUUCUGUAAGGAACGGUGGACUUCACAGAAGUGAGAAUGUUGGUAUGAGUAGCGAAAAGAAUGGUGAGAAUCCAUUCCACCGAAAGCAUAAGGAUUCCUGGGCAACGAUCGUCGUCCCAGGGUAAGUCGGGACCUAAUCCGAGGCAUGGAGCGUAGGAGAUGGACAACUGGCAGAUAUUCCAGUACCGGUAAUGAUUGUUUGAGCGAUGGAGUGACACAGGAGGGCAGGCAGGCAGGAGAUUGGUUGUUCCUGUACAAGCGUGUAGGGUGGAACGUAGGCAAAUCCGCGUUCUGAGAGCCUGAGGCGUGAUGUGGAGGUUCCGGAAACGGAACCGAAGCUGCUGACCCCACACUGUCGAGAAAAGCUUCUAGUUAGAGAAUUACCGCCCGUACCGUAAACCGACACAGGUAUGCGGGGAGAGAAUCCUAAGGUGCGCGGGAGAACCCUCGUUAAGGAACUCGGCAAAAUGUACCCGUAACUUCGGGAUAAGGGUAGCCGCUGUUGUGAAGUCUGAACAGACGGAGCAUGAGGCGGUCGCAGAGAAGAGGCCCAAGCGACUGUUUACCACAAACACAGGUGCCUGCUAAAGAGAAAUCUGACGUAUAGGUGCUGACACCUGCCCAGUGCCGGAAGGUUAAGGAAGGAUGUCCGGAGCAAUCCAAAGCAUUCGACCGAAGCCCCGGUGAACGGCGGCCGUAACUAUAACGGUCCUAAGGUAGCGAAAUUCCUUGUCGGGUAAGUUCCGACCCGCACGAAAGGUGUAACGAUUUGGGCACUGUCUCAACGAGGGACCCGGUGAAAUUGAAGUACCUGUGAAGAUGCAGGUUACCCGCGACUGGACAGAAAGACCCCAUGGAGCUUUACUGUAACCUGACAUUGGGUUCUGAUACAUCACGUACAGGAUAGGUGGGAGGCAUGGAAGCGAGGACGCUAGUCUUCGUGGAGCCGCCGUUGGGAUACCACCCUUGAUGUAUCGGAAUUCUAACCGUAGGAGUAACGAAACUCGGGACAGUGUCAGGCGGGCAGUUUGACUGGGGCGGUCGCCUCCCAAAGAGUAACGGAGGCGCCCAAAGGUUCCCUCAGCGCGGCCGGAAAUCGCGCGAAGAGUGUAAAGGCAGAAGGGAGCUUGACUGAGAGCCAAACACGGCGAUCAGGUACGAAAGUAGGGCUUAGUGAUCCGGUGGCAUCCAAGUGGAAGGGCCAUCGCUCAACGGAUAAAAGCUACCCUGGGGAUAACAGGCUAAUCUCUCCCAAGAGUCCAUAUCGACGGGGAGGUUUGGCACCUCGAUGUCGGCUCAUCACAUCCUGGGGCUGAAGUCGGUCCCAAGGGUUGGGCUGUUCGCCCAUUAAAGUGGUACGCGAGCUGGGUUCAGAACGUCGUGAGACAGUUCGGUCCCUAU
RNAcentral lists this ribosomal RNA (1669 nucleotides) under human gut metagenome. Its description in RNAcentral is "bacterial LSU rRNA". It matches the Rfam family "Bacterial large subunit ribosomal RNA", at positions 986 to 2641 of the family's 2925-position model. The record is from RNAcentral.